AAAGACAUAUGUAACUAUUCAGUAUUGAUACUUUUUUACAUUUUAAUUGUUUCCCGGACAAAUUUUCAUAUCAUGAUUCGGUUAGUUAAGUAAGGUAGAAAAUUUUAAGUUUUUUUAGUUCCUCAACCAAAUUGUGGUCCAUUUUCAUGGCCACUUUUCUAAGUAAAUAUGAGAGGAAUAUUUUUUACAUGUUCGAUAAUUCAUUUUUUAACAUGACGGUUUUACAAAAAUGGCUCCAGUUCUUUGGUUCGAAUGGUUUUAGACGAUUC
This 269-nucleotide long non-coding RNA is filed under the name Lathyrus oleraceus (garden pea). RNAcentral describes it as "Pisum sativum (pea) long non-coding RNA (PSAT_LNC009670)". The record is from RNAcentral. Lineage: Eukaryota; Viridiplantae; Streptophyta; Magnoliopsida; Fabales; Fabaceae.